GAGUUUGAUUCUGGCUCAGGACAAACGCUGGCGGCGUGCAUAACACAUGCAAGUCGAACGAGAUCUAAAAGAUCUAGUGGCGAACGGGUGAGUAACACGUGAGAAACCUGCCUCAUACAGAGGGAUAGCCGUUGGAAACGACGAUUAAUACCUCAUGAGACUACAUUAUCGCAUGAUAAAGUGGUUAAAGAAAAUCGGUAUGAGAUGGUCUUGCGUCUGAUUAGCUAGUUGGUGGGAUAACGGCCUACCAAGGCGACGAUCAGUAGCCGAUCUGAGAGGGUGGACGGCCACACUGGGACUGAGACACGGCCCAGACUCCUACGGGAGGCAGCAGUGGGGAAUUUUGCACAAUGGACGAAAGUCUGAUGCAGCGACGCCGCGUGAACGAAGAAGGCCUUCGGGUUGUAAAGUUCUGUCCUAGGUGAAGAUAAUGACCGUACCNGAGAGCC
Molecule: ribosomal RNA, 449 nt
Filed under: Helcococcus sp. canine oral taxon 140
Lineage: Bacteria; Bacillati; Bacillota; Tissierellia; Tissierellales; Peptoniphilaceae
Description: bacterial SSU rRNA
Rfam family: Bacterial small subunit ribosomal RNA
Source: RNAcentral